GAUGAACGCUAGCGGCAGGCUUAAUACAUGCAAGUCGAGGGGCAGCGGGUGUAGUAAUACAUGCCGGCGACCGGCGCACGGGUGCGUAACGCGUAUGUAACCUACCUUUAACUGGAGGAUAGCCCCGAGAAAUCGGGAUUAAUACUCCAUAAAAUUAUGAAAAGGCAUCUUUUAUAAUUAAAGCUCCGGCGGUUUUAGAUGGGCAUGCGUGACAUUAGCUAGUUGGUGAGGUAACGGCUCACCAAGGCUCCGAUGUCUAGGGGUUCUGAGAGGAUUAACCCCCACACUGGUACUGAGACACGGACCAGACUCCUACGGGAGGCAGCAGUAAGGAAUAUUGGGCAAUGGACGCAAGUCUGACCCAGCCAUGCCGCGUGAAGGAUGACGGCCCUAUGGGUUGUAAACUUCUUUUGUACGGGAAAAAACCUUCGAACGUGUUCGAAGCUGAUGGUACCGUAAGAAUAAGCAUCGGCUAACUCCGUG
This 483-nucleotide ribosomal RNA is filed under the name uncultured bacterium. RNAcentral's name for it is "bacterial SSU rRNA". It matches the Rfam family "Bacterial small subunit ribosomal RNA", at positions 28 to 507 of the family's 1533-position model. The record is from RNAcentral.